RNAcentral lists this ribosomal RNA (858 nucleotides) under Microbacterium oxydans. RNAcentral describes it as "bacterial SSU rRNA". It matches the Rfam family "Bacterial small subunit ribosomal RNA", at positions 34 to 901 of the family's 1533-position model. Lineage: Bacteria; Bacillati; Actinomycetota; Actinomycetes; Micrococcales; Microbacteriaceae. The record is from RNAcentral.
CCCUUGGCGGCGUGCUUACCACAUGCAAGUCGAACGGUGAAGCACAGCUUGCUCUGGUGGAUCAGUGGCGAACGGGUGAGUAACACGUGAGCAACCUGCCCCUGACUCUGGGAUAAGCGCUGGAAACGGCGUCUAAUACUGGAUAUGUGACGUGACCGCAUGGUCUGCGUCUGGAAAGAAUUUCGGUUGGGGAUGGGCUCGCGGCCUAUCAGCUUGUUGGUGAGGUAAUGGCUCACCAAGGCGUCGACGGGUAGCCGGCCUGAGAGGGUGACCGGCCACACUGGGACUGAGACACGGCCCAGACUCCUACGGGAGGCAGCAGUGGGGAAUAUUGCACAAUGGGCGCAAGCCUGAUGCAGCAACGCCGCGUGAGGGAAGACGGCCUUCGGGUUGUAAACCUCUUUUAGCAGGGAAGAAGCGAAAGUGACGGUACCUGCAGAAAAAGCGCCGGCUAACUACGUGCCAGCAGCCGCGGUAAUACGUAGGGCGCAAGCGUUAUCCGGAAUUAUUGGGCGUAAAGAGCUCGUAGGCGGUUUGUCGCGUCUGCUGUGAAAUCCGGAGGCUCAACCUCCGGCCUGCAGUGGGUACGGGCAGACUAGAGUGCGGUAGGGGAGAUUGGAAUUCCUGGUGUAGCGGUGGAAUGCGCAGAUAUCAGGAGGAACACCGAUGGCGAAGGCAGAUCUCUGGGCCGUAACUGACGCUGAGGAGCGAAAGGGUGGGGAGCAAACAGGCUUAGAUACCCUGGUAGUCCACCCCGUAAACGUUGGGAACUAGUUGUGGGGUCCAUUCCACGGAUUCCGUGACGCAGCUAACGCAUUAAGUUCCCCGCCUGGGGAGUACGGCCGCAAGGCUAAAACU